CCUACGGGAGGCAGCAGUAGGGAAUUUUCGUCAAUGGGCGCAAGCCUGAACGAGCAAUGCCGCGUGAACGAGGAAGGGCUUCGGAUCGGAAAGUUCUGUUGAAGGGGAAAAAGAGCGGAGAGAGGAAAUGGUCUCCGAUUGAUAUUACUCUUCGAGGAAGUCACGGCUAACUACGUGCCAGCAGCCGCGGUAGUACGGAGGUGGCGAGCGUUAUCGGGAUUGAUUGGGCGUAAAGGGUGCGUAGGUGGCUUGCUAAGGCUGGAGGGAAAGGGACCGGCUAAACCGGUAAAGGCUCUGGAAACUGGCAGGCUAGAGAGCAGGAGAGGGAGGUGGAAUUCUCGGUGUAGCAGUAAAAUGCGUAGAUAUAGGGAAGAACACUAGUGGCGAAGGCGGGUGCCUGGCCUGUUACUGACGCUGAGGCACGAAAGCGUGGGGAGCAAAUGGGAUUAGAUACCCGAGUAGUC
RNAcentral lists this ribosomal RNA (464 nucleotides) under uncultured bacterium. Its description in RNAcentral is "partial 16S ribosomal RNA". It matches the Rfam family "Bacterial small subunit ribosomal RNA", at positions 338 to 795 of the family's 1533-position model. The record is from RNAcentral.